Molecule: ribosomal RNA, 300 nt
Filed under: uncultured Lactobacillus sp.
Lineage: Bacteria; Bacillati; Bacillota; Bacilli; Lactobacillales; Lactobacillaceae
Description: bacterial SSU rRNA
Rfam family: Bacterial small subunit ribosomal RNA
Source: RNAcentral
GCUAACGCCGUGCCUGCAGCGGGGGUAAGACGUAGGGGGCAAGCGUUGUCCGGAUUUAUUGGGCGUAAAGAGCGGGUAGGCGGCCAAGCAGGUCCGCUGUGAAAACUCGAGGCUCAACCUCGAGAGGUCGGUGGAAACCGUUUGGCUAGAGUCCGGAAGAGGAGAGUGGAAUUCCCGGUGUAGCGGUGAAAUGCGCAGAUAUCGGGAAGAACACCCGUGGCGAAGGCGGCUCUCUGGGACGGUACUGACGCUGAGACGCGAAAGCGUGGGGAGCGAACAGGAUUAGAUACCCCUGUAGUC